This is a non-coding RNA of Phoenix dactylifera (date palm), 308 nucleotides long. The record is from RefSeq and is a predicted model, not a curated record. NCBI's taxonomy places the organism in Eukaryota, Viridiplantae, Streptophyta, Magnoliopsida, Arecales, Arecaceae.
CAAAAGCCAGGGGGCCAUACUUGAUGCUAAACCAAGACCAUUGCUUGAAGCACAAGUGACGAGUCCCUUAAGAGUCAUCAAUUUGGUGGGCAUCAACAGAAGGCUUAUAUACAGACCAGAUCUCAGCUAAGAUCCGUGUGACUGCGAUUUGGAAAGAAUACCUGGUGGGACCCAAUUUAACUCUGGUCGGUUCGAUGGACCCUCAACGGUUUGAUCAUGUAAUCUAACAACAGCUGUUAAUGGUGAAGACCUUUCGGCGCAGGCAAUGGAGCUGAUCCCAAGAGGAGAAGGCUUGGGUGUUUAGAAAA